UGGGGAAUAUUGGGCAAUGGAUGCAAGUCUGACCCAGCCAUGCCGCGUGCCGGAUGAAGGCCCUCAGGGUUGUAAACGGCUUUUAUUCGGGAAGAAGAGCAGGGAUGCGUCCUUGUGUGACGGUACCGAAUGAAUAAGCACCGGCUAACUCCGUGCCAGCAGCCGCGGUAAUACGGAGGGUGCGAGCGUUGUCCGGAUUUAUUGGGUUUAAAGGGUGCGUAGGUGGCUUUAUAAGUCAGUGGUGAAAUACAGCCGCUUAACGGUUGAGGUGCCAUUGAUACUGUAGAGCUUGAAACAAUUGGAGGCUGCCGGAAUGGAUGGUGUAGCGGUGAAAUGCAUAGAUAUCAUCCAGAACACCGAUUGCGAAGGCAGGUGGCUACGUUUGAUUUGACACUGAGGCACGAAAGCAUGGGGAGCAAAC
RNAcentral lists this ribosomal RNA (421 nucleotides) under uncultured bacterium. Its description in RNAcentral is "bacterial SSU rRNA". It matches the Rfam family "Bacterial small subunit ribosomal RNA", at positions 355 to 773 of the family's 1533-position model. The record is from RNAcentral.